Molecule: ribosomal RNA, 1355 nt
Filed under: Campylobacter jejuni
Lineage: Bacteria; Pseudomonadati; Campylobacterota; Epsilonproteobacteria; Campylobacterales; Campylobacteraceae
Description: bacterial LSU rRNA
Rfam family: Bacterial large subunit ribosomal RNA
Source: RNAcentral
GCCUCAAGUAGGCAAAUCCGCUUGAGUAGGCUGAGCUGUGAUGGCGAGGGAAAUAAAGUACCGAAGUGCCUGAUUCCACACUGCCAAGAAAAGCCUCUAGCGAGGUGAGAGGUGCCCGUACCGCAAACCGACACAGGUAGGCGAGGAGAGAAUCCUAAGGUGCGCGGGAGAACUCUCGUUAAGGAACUCGGCAAAAUGACCCCGUAACUUCGGGAGAAGGGGUGCUCCCUCGGGUGAAUAGCCCAGGGGAGCCGCAGUGAAAAGGCCCAAGCGACUGUUUAUCAAAAACACAGGUCUCUGCGAAGCCGUAAGGCGAAGUAUAGGGGCUGACACCUGCCCGGUGCUGGAAGGUUAAGGGGAGCGCUUAGCGCAAGCGAAGGUGCGAACCGAAGCCCCAGUAAACGGCGGCCGUAACUAUAACGGUCCUAAGGUAGCGAAAUUCCUUGUCGGGUAAGUUCCGACCCGCACGAAAGGUGUAACGACUUGGGCACUGUCUCAACGAGAGACCCGGUGAAAUCAUAGUACCUGUGAAGAUGCAGGUUACCCGCGACAGGACGGAAAGACCCCGUGGAGCUUUACUGCAGCCUGAUAUUGAAUGUUGGUGCGACAUGUACAGCAUAGGUGGGAGACUGAGAAGCCUGGACGCCAGUCUAGGUGGAGUCGCCGUUGGGAUACCACCCUUGUCGUACUGAGAUUCUAACCCGCACCCCUGAUCGGGGUGGGAGACAGUGUCAGGUGGGCAGUUUGACUGGGGCGGUCGCCUCCCAAAGCGUAACGGAGGCGCCCAAAGGUUCCCUCAGAAUGGUUGGAAAUCAUUCGAAGAGUGUAAAGGCAGAAGGGAGCUUGACUGCGAGACCUACAAGUCGAGCAGGGACGAAAGUCGGGCUUAGUGAUCCGGUGGUUCCGAAUGGAAGGGCCAUCGCUCAACGGAUAAAAGCUACCCCGGGGAUAACAGGCUUAUCUCCCCCAAGAGUCCACAUCGACGGGGAGGUUUGGCACCUCGAUGUCGGCUCAUCGCAUCCUGGGGCUGUAGUCGGUCCCAAGGGUUGGGCUGUUCGCCCAUUAAAGCGGUACGCGAGCUGGGUUCAGAACGUCGUGAGACAGUUCGGUCCCUAUCCGUCGCGGGCGUAGGAAAUUUGAGAGGAGCUGUCCUUAGUACGAGAGGACCGGGAUGGACGCACCGCUGGUGUACCAGUUGUUCCGCCAGGAGCACAGCUGGGUAGCUAUGUGCGGAAGGGAUAAGCGCUGAAAGCAUCUAAGCGUGAAGCCCCCCUCAAGAUGAGAUUUCCCAUCGCGUCAAGCGAGUAAGAUCCCUUGAAGAUGACAAGGUAGAUAGGUCCGAGGUGGAAGCGUGG